UACGUAGGGUGCGAGCGUUGUCCGGAAUUAUUGGGCGUAAAGAGCUCGUAGGCGGUCUGUCACGUCGAUCGUGAAAACUUGGGGCUUAACCCUGAGCUUGCGGUCGAUACGGGCAUGACUGGAGUUCGGCAGGGGAGACUGGAAUUCCUGGUGUAGCGGUGGAAUGCGCAGAUAUCAGGAGGAACACCGGUGGCGAAGGCGGGUCUCUGGGCAGUAACUGACGCUGAGGAGCGAAAGCGUGGGGAGCGAACAGG
This 254-nucleotide ribosomal RNA is filed under the name uncultured bacterium. RNAcentral describes it as "partial 16S ribosomal RNA". It matches the Rfam family "Bacterial small subunit ribosomal RNA", at positions 524 to 776 of the family's 1533-position model. The record is from RNAcentral.